AUUGAACGCUGGCGGCAGGCCUAACACAUGCAUGUCGAGCGGAUGAAGGGAGCUUGCUCCUGGAUUCAGCGGCGGACGGGUGAGUAAUGCCUAGGAAUCUGCCUGGUAGUGGGGGAUAACGUCCGGAAACGGGCGCUAAUACCGCAUACGUCCUGAGGGAGAAAGUGGGGGAUCUUCGGACCUCACGCUAUCAGAUGAGCCUAGGUCGGAUUAGCUAGUUGGUGGGGUAAAGGCCUACCAAGGCGACGAUCCGUAACUGGUCUGAGAGGAUGAUCAGUCACACUGGAACUGAGACACGGUCCAGACUCCUACGGGAGGCAGCAGUGGGGAAUAUUGGACAAAGGGCGAAAGCCUGAUCCAGCCAUGCCGCGUGUGUGAAGAAGGUCUUCGGAUUGUAAAGCACUUUAAGUUGGGAGGAAGGGCAGUAAGUUAAUACCUUGCUGUUUUGACGUUACCAACAGAAUAAGCACCGGCUAACUUCGUG
RNAcentral lists this ribosomal RNA (484 nucleotides) under uncultured bacterium. RNAcentral's name for it is "partial 16S ribosomal RNA". It matches the Rfam family "Bacterial small subunit ribosomal RNA", at positions 30 to 507 of the family's 1533-position model. The record is from RNAcentral.